AUGGGGAUCCCGUGCGCUCUCAGAUGGGGUGGAGGGUUAAGGAGAAAACUCCACGUCCAGCAAGCAGAACAAAGCGACUGCCGGAGCUCUCAAGAUGCACCCGGCUUGGGAGGCCCAACUGGUAUCCCGACACCUCACUCAGGCUGGUUUCGGGUUUGGGGAGCCAUCAAAACAAGAACGCUCGGCGGCUUCCGCCAGCGCGAGGAGGAGGGGACGACUCCGGGCACUGGGCAAGACCCAGAGGCACAGCCGCGAAGGCGGCGGCGGCAGGGCAGGCGGAAGAUAGCAUGCAGCCCGUGGCCGACCGAGGCCCGGUCGAGCCCGCUGGAGCUGCCCGCAGCCUGGCCUGCCUGCGCAGUAAUGGCCGGGGCCGCGCCCGUCACAGUCCGGGCUGCGCCAGCUCGGCCUCCCUCCGCGCGCCCGUCCGGGCCGCGCCGGCCAAGGGCGUCCCCGUCCUACCGGCCCCCGACCCGCCGCCGCCCGCCGCGGACUCCGAGCGCCGCCUCGCAGCCAACGAAGCCGCAGUGCCCCCGCCGAGGCCCGCAGCCCACGGCCCCCCGCGCUCCUCACCGGUCCGGCCCGGAGCCCACCUCUCGGCCGCCGCCGCAGCCACCUCGCAGUCUUUUCUCCUCCGCUUCGGAGCCCGCAGCGGACGGGGACGCGCGCGGCCGUCACGUGACCGCCCGGCGCUCAAGGGGCGGGGCCGCGCCGGCGGAAGCCACGCCCCCUCACCGUGAUCCCGCGCGCGGCGGCCCUGGCUGGCGGUCCCCACGCUGGCUGCUGCUCGUCUCUGUCCCCUGCUGCGACCGGGCUGCUCCUUGUCCCUGUUCCGGUCCUCCCUCACCCUCUGCGUGGCACAUCUUGUGGCCUCCUGGUUCUGAACCGGUGGAGGUCCAUCUAGGUGGCUCGUGGGAGGAAGCUAGACCUUCAGUACCAGGAAGAAGAGCCUUUCCAAAACUCAGCCUUGGGUCAAGUCCUAUGUUUCCUUUGGCCGUGCCCUUAGGGAGAGACUACCGCUUGUUCCUUAUACAAAAAAGGCACAAGAAAAGGCACGGCGUGGACUGGAUGGUCCCCGAGAUGCUCCAAUUUAUUCACCUCACAAAUGGCUAG
RNAcentral lists this long non-coding RNA (1110 nucleotides) under Mus spicilegus (steppe mouse). RNAcentral describes it as "lncRNA (ENSMSIG00000001078.1)". Lineage: Eukaryota; Metazoa; Chordata; Mammalia; Rodentia; Muridae. The record is from RNAcentral.